CUGCAGCCAAUUAAGCAGACCUUGCUGCCAUCCCCAUGGUGCCCCGUGUGCAGUGGCUGCAAACAGCAGCCUCCUUGGUAGUGUAUGCAGCCUGUUGCUUGUGCAGGCUGCCCUAAGGGACCCUGGAGACAGCC
Molecule: small nucleolar RNA, 134 nt
Organism: Erinaceus europaeus (western European hedgehog)
Lineage: Eukaryota; Metazoa; Chordata; Mammalia; Eulipotyphla; Erinaceidae
Gene: SNORA70
Rfam family: Small nucleolar RNA SNORA70
About the family: snoRNA U70 seems to be exclusive to mammals and is a member of the H/ACA class of snoRNA which contain H (ANANNA) and ACA box motifs.
Source: Ensembl